RNAcentral lists this ribosomal RNA (414 nucleotides) under uncultured prokaryote. RNAcentral's name for it is "bacterial SSU rRNA". It matches the Rfam family "Bacterial small subunit ribosomal RNA", at positions 505 to 918 of the family's 1533-position model. The record is from RNAcentral.
GUGUCAGCAGCCGCGGUAAUACGAAGGGGGCUAGCGUUGCUCGGAAUGACUGGGCGUAAAGGGCGCGUAGGCGGUAUGGACAGUCAGGUGUGAAAUUCCCGGGCUUAACCUGGGGACUGCAUUUGAUACGUUCAAACUAGAGUGUGGAAGAGGGUCGUGGAAUUCCCAGUGUAGAGGUGAAAUUCGUAGAUAUUGGGAAGAACACCGGUGGCGAAGGCGGCGACCUGGUCCAUUACUGACGCUGAGGCGCGAAAGCGUGGGGAGCAAACAGGAUUAGAUACCCUGGUAGUCCACGCCGUAAACGAUGUGUGCUGGAUGUUGGGUGACCUAGUCACUCAGUGUCGUAGCUAACGCGAUAAGCACACCGCCUGGGGAGUACGGCCGCAAGGUUGAAACUUAAAUGAAUUGGCGGGG